This is a non-coding RNA of Arabidopsis suecica, 183 nucleotides long. NCBI's taxonomy places the organism in Eukaryota, Viridiplantae, Streptophyta, Magnoliopsida, Brassicales, Brassicaceae. The record is from the annotation of a GenBank genome assembly.
GGUUUUUAGAGGCUGAAGCUGCCAGCAUGAUCUGGUAAUCGCUACAUACGACAUACACACAUCUCUAUAUAAUUUAUGCACGGACAUGUGUAUGUACAUAGUUUACAUGCAUGCAUUUUGUGUAUGUAUGUGUGUGUAUAGAUAGUAGUACUAGGUCAUCCUGCAGCUUCAGUCACUAAAUCA